GAUGAAGAACGCAGUGAAAUGCGAUAAGUAAUGUGAAUUGCAGAAUUCAGUGAAUCAUCGAAUCUUUGAAUGCACAUUGCGCCCCUUGGUAUUCCGAGGGGCAUGCCUGUUCGAGCGUCAUUAUAACCCCUCAAGCUCAGCUUGGUGUUGGGGCCUGCUGCACUGGCAGCCCUUAAAAUCAGUGGCGGCGCCAUCUGGCUCUAAGCGUAGUAAUUCUUCUCGCUAUGGAGUCCUGGUGGAUGCUUGCCAUCAACCCCCAAUUUUUCUAUGGUUGACCUCGGAUCAGGUAGGGAUACCCGCUGAACUUAAGCAUAUCAAUAAGCGGAGGA
This 329-nucleotide unclassified non-coding RNA is filed under the name soil metagenome. RNAcentral describes it as "partial contains 5.8S ribosomal RNA, internal transcribed spacer 2, and large subunit ribosomal RNA". The stretch from base 1 to 120 matches the Rfam family "5.8S ribosomal RNA", at positions 35 to 154 of the family's 154-position model. The record is from RNAcentral.